Molecule: ribosomal RNA, 497 nt
Filed under: uncultured bacterium
Lineage: Bacteria
Description: partial 16S ribosomal RNA
Rfam family: Bacterial small subunit ribosomal RNA
Source: RNAcentral
GAUGAACGCUGGCGGCGUGCCUAAUACAUGCAAGUCGAGCGAACGGACGAGAAGCUUGCUUUUCUGAUGUUAGCGGCGGACGGGUGUGUAACACGUGGAUAACCUACCUAUAAGACUGGGAUAACUUCGGGAAACCGGAGCUAAUACCGGAUAAUAUUUUGAACCGCAUGGUUCAAAAGUGAAAGACGGUCGUGCGGUCACGUAUAGAUGGAUCCGCGCUGCAUUAGCUAGUUGGUAAGGUAACGGCUUACCAAGGCAACGAUGCAUAGACGACCUGAGAGGGGGAUCGGCCACCCUGGAACUGAGACACGGUCCAGACUACUACGGGAGGCAGCAGUAGGGAAUCUGACGCAAUGGGCGAAAGCCUGACGGAGCAACGCCGCGUGAGUGAUGAAGGUCUUCGGAUCGUAAAAAUCUGUUAUUAGGGAAGAACAUAUGUGUCAGUAACUGUGCACAUCUUGACGGUACCUAAUCAGAAAGCAACGGCUAACUACGUG